AAGUCGUAACAAGGUCUCCGUUGGUGAACCAGCGGAGGGAUCAUUACAGAGUUUUCUAACUCCCAAACCCAUGUGAACUUACCUUUGUUGCCUCGGCAGAAGCUACCCUGUAACGAGCUACCCUGUAGCGACUUACCCUGUAGCGAUCAUUCUGCCGGUGGACCAUUAAACUCUUGUUAUUUUAUUGUAAUCUGAGCGUCUUAUUUUAAUAAGUCAAAACUUUCAACAACGGAUCUCUUGGUUCUG
Molecule: unclassified non-coding RNA, 246 nt
Filed under: Seiridium phylicae
Lineage: Eukaryota; Fungi; Ascomycota; Sordariomycetes; Amphisphaeriales; Sporocadaceae
Also listed under: 1 other name
Description: partial internal transcribed spacer region
Rfam family: Eukaryotic small subunit ribosomal RNA (bases 1-46)
Source: RNAcentral